RNAcentral lists this long non-coding RNA (676 nucleotides) under Homo sapiens (human). RNAcentral describes it as "HSALNT0291094". The record is from RNAcentral. Lineage: Eukaryota; Metazoa; Chordata; Mammalia; Primates; Hominidae.
GAAUUCAUUACUUCAUUCACUAGCUAUUUUCUGAAUGCUCCAUUUGUGCCCUGCGCUGUGACGGGACUAGAGGAUUGAAGAAGGCAAAAAAUCAGUAAGAAAGCAUGGCUAGAGAGUGGGUCCUCGUCCCCGUCCCAUGGAGCUCAGUCCCCACAGCGUCCUAAUUGCCUUAAAGUAGCUGCUCUUGCCCCAGGAGAUCCACCCGGCUAUGAGUUGGUGCCAGGAAGGCCAUUGCAGAGAAAGGCAGGCGUGGAGUGUCCUCUGCCAGAGGCUGCCUGAGCUCCAUGGAAGGAGGCCAGUGUGGCAGUGAGGUGCCUGGCUGCCCGCCCCUCCCCUCACUCCUCUAAUAACCACCAUUUCUGUCUCCACCAAUUCUGGGACACCCACCUGCAGGUUCAAGACCACUCACACUUGGGCACUGAUGGGCCUCUAUGGGGUCAUGGAAGGAGCCCUCAGGCAGUGGAAUGUCUCAGGUGACCCCUGCCAAGGGGCCAAGCCCAGCUUUUGUUGCUUAGCCUCCUCCAAGGAAAACCCUCCCUGGGAAAGUUCUGAUGAUCACCACCUCUGACCAAGCCAUACUUCCUGUAAGCACCAGAAAGAAAGUGAUUCCAGGUUCUAUUAUUGAACUUUACACUAUCGUUUCAACAAAAUAAAGUAUAUGGCUUUUAAUGUUCAA